ACCUUUGAAAAAGUAAGGAGUCUCUGAAGGCCAGUAUAAAAAAGAUAAUACUGUCUGCCUAAAAAUCAUCAUGCCUCUCUUCAGAGAGAAACCAGUCAACUGCUCCUACGUCGUCAGUUUGAACUUGGCAGUGGUAAUGAUGGCUACAGAUAAAGGUGACGAUUCCUCAUCAGAACACCCGUGGCCAUUAUCUGAGGUCUAUGUUUGGGAUUUUUCAAAUGAAGAAAGAUCCAUAUUGUUUUAAAUAUUUGCUCUGUUUUCCACAUACAAACUUCAUCACGGCUCAUGAAAAACCUGAGAAAACAUUUUGAGUUUGUUGAAUUCCAUAUAAACAUUUUAAACAGUUUUCUGUGAUUUUAUGAGUUGCUGUUUUUAUUCUAUGGAUGGUCAAUUUACUCUUUAUGGAUUUUCAUGGAUUUACCCACCAAGUUGUUGUAUUAAGUCCGGGUCCUGUGAGACUCAGUAUCUUCUCUAACUUCUGAUAACAAAACCACAAUCCGCUGACAUUAUAAAGCAAAUAAAUGUACUUUUGAAUACGUAAGUGUUUUUAGAAACAAGUACUCCAAUACUUAAAAAAAAAACUGACUGAGCAAUUUUAAUUUUCAUAGUAUUUGACCAGGAGUAUCUAUACUUUGACUCAAGUUAAGAGUUGUGUACUUUGUCC
Molecule: long non-coding RNA, 664 nt
Filed under: Dicentrarchus labrax (European seabass)
Lineage: Eukaryota; Metazoa; Chordata; Actinopteri; Moronidae
Description: lncRNA (ENSDLAG00005013860.2)
Source: RNAcentral